GACGAACGCUGGCGGCGUGCUUAACACAUGCAAGUCGAACGGAAAGGCCCUGCUUUUGUGGGGUGCUCGAGUGGCGAACGGGUGAGUAACACGUGAGUAACCUGCCCUUGACUUUGGGAUAACUUCAGGAAACUGGGGCUAAUACCGGAUAGGAGCUCCUGCUGCAUGGUGGGGGUUGGAAAGUUUCGGCGGUUGGGGAUGGACUCGCGGCUUAUCAGCUUGUUGGUGGGGUAGUGGCUUACCAAGGCUUUGACGGGUAGCCGGCCUGAGAGGGUGACCGGCCACAUUGGGACUGAGAUACGGCCCAGACUCCUACGGGAGGCAGCAGUGGGGAAUAUUGCACAAUGGGCGGAAGCCUGAUGCAGCAACGCCGCGUGCGGGAGGACGGCCUUCGGGUUGUAAACCGCUUUCGCUGUGACGAAGCGUGAGUGACGGUAAUGGGUAAAGAAGCACCGGCUAACUACGUG
This 467-nucleotide ribosomal RNA is filed under the name uncultured bacterium. RNAcentral describes it as "partial 16S ribosomal RNA". It matches the Rfam family "Bacterial small subunit ribosomal RNA", at positions 28 to 507 of the family's 1533-position model. The record is from RNAcentral.